AUGUUUAGGAGCAAUAGGAGUAGUGAAGUUGAUCAACAGCCAUGGUUUCAAAAAGAACAAGAUCAUCGAGAAACAAGCAGGCUACGGAGGCAUCUGUAAAUGGAAGAGAACCAAAUGGAAGUGAAAGGGACCUGGAACCUGUUAGAGGCUUCUGGUGCUGCAGCUGAAGCUCAGAUUGGGACUGGGGCCCCAAAAGGAAUAAGUUCAAGCACCAAAGUCAAGGCUACAAAGAAGAAAACAUCAGCAGUCUGGAAACAUUUCACUGAAGUGCUUAUUGAAGAAAAGGUGGAUGCCAUAUCUGUCAUGAAGAAGGCAGCAGAAUGCAACUAUUGUGAUGAAGUUCUUUGUGCCCCAAGUAAUCAAGGUACCACGCGUCUUUGGAACCAUUUCUAUGCAUUUCAUGAUGAAAAAGGAGGGAAACCUAGCAUUAGAAAAAAAAAUGAAAGGGACUGAUUGGCAGUUUGAUGAGGAAAGUAGUAUGAGAAAAUACUAUCUUGCAGUUAUUAUGCAUGAGUAUCCAUUCAGUUUCUGUGAGCAUGAGUACACAAAUGCCUUUAUUAGAUCUUUGUGCCCAAUAUUUCCAUCAGUGUCCCGCAAGACUGCUAGGGCCAAGAUAAUUGACAUUUAUCACAAUGAAAAGAAGAAGCUUUUUGAAUAUUUUGCCUCUUUUAAGUGUCGCUUCAGCUGCACCAUGGAUGUAUGGACCUCAAACCAAAACAAGGGGUAUUUGUGUGUGACAUGCCAUUUUAUUGAUGAUGACUAGAAAGUGCAGAAAAGAAUCAUAAACUUUAUGCAUCUUGAGGGUAGGCACAGGAGUUAUUUGCAUUGACCUUAGAUAAUGCAGCUGCAAAUGAUGUUUGUGUGGACACGGUCAUUUUGGCUCUUAAGAAUCAGGGUUCUUUGCACUGUGGAGGCAAGUUCUUUCAUGUCCGCUGUGCUGCACAUAUCAUUAACCUAGUUGCUAAGGAUGGUGUGAACACAGUUGCAGCUGUUAUUGCAAUCGUUUGUGCAUUAGUCCUUAUUGUCAAGAGCUCACCUUUGCAACAAGAGUAUUUUCUGAAGCAUGCUGCUGAUCUGGAAAUAGCAGAAAGAGGUCUUUCUUUAGAUGUGUCUACUAGGUGGAAUUCAACCUACUUAAUGCUAGCUGAUGCUCUUCACUUUAAAAGGGUUUUGUCAAAGGCUUAUUCUACUAUAUCCUGAGAAAUAUAGUAAACAUGCUCUUCCACCAGAGGACUGGGAGAAUGCUGCUGUCUUUUGUGCAAGUGCUUAGAUAUCUUUUAUGAUGCCACAAAAGUUUUGUCUGGAUCUCGCUAUUCGACAGCGAACCUGUUUUUUUCAGAAUUCUGUGAAAUUAACCUCAAGCUCAUUGAGUGGACCCAAAGUAAGGAUAGUUUUGUUGUUUCUAUGGCAAAAUCUAUGAAGGAGAAAUUUGAUAAGUAUUGGGAGAUGAGCAAUGUUGCUCUAGCAGUUGCAUGUUUCUUAGAUCCUAGGUACAAGAUGAAGGUGGUUGAAUUUUAUUACAGUGAGAUGUCAAAUGCCAAUGGAUUUGGUGACAUGUAUGAAUUUAAAAAAUUGUCUAGAAGCUUUAUGAUUCUUAUGCCUCGAUGUAUGUUGCUCCUGAAACAAGGCAUGUACAAAGAACUCAAGCAAGAACUGCCAGAACUUCUCAAUGUUAUGUGGACACAAAUGAGGAGCCCAAGAGAAAAAAGGUUGAGCUCGUUUCUAAGGGACAAUACUGAAGUGGGCUAUGAGCUGUCUGACUAUGAGCGGUACUGCAGUGAUGCAUUGUUGAGUUGGAAAGAAAGUGAUCACUUUGACAUUUUGAGUUGGUGGAAGACCCAUGGAGUGAAGUAUCUUGUCCUUGCUCGAAUGGCAAGAGAUGUUUUGGCUAUUCCUGCAUCCACAGUAGCUUCUGAGUCUGUUUUAGUUCUGGAGGAAAAAUAGUUCACAAAUACCGUAGCCGAUUGAACUCUAAAGUUGUUGAGGCACUUGUUUGCACAAAGGAUUGGAUAAAAGCGUCAAGGCAAGAUCAAAGUGGUGUAUCUUCAAUUCAUGAAGAUUUAGGUUAUGGUAGUACAAAUGGCAGAGUUGAAGAUGAUGAAGGUGCUCUUGCUGAUGCUAAAGACAACAUUAUGGAUAUGGAAGAGGAAGAGGAAGACAAUAAGGAUUACUCUUAGCUUUGCUUCAGGCUAGCAGAGGUGGCUUACUGCUUGUUGUUCGCCUGUUCUCCUGCCUGCUGUUGGGAUUGCUACUGCCUGUGCCUACUGCUGAAAAUGUUUUGCUUAAUUUAUGAGUGCACUUCUAUGAGCUCAGUGUCAUGUAUUCUGAUUUGCAAGCUCAAUGUCAUGUGCUUGAUUAGGAACUUAGUGUCACGUACUGUUUGGGACUUGCGAGUAUUGUAAUGUUGAUGACUAUCCUUGCUAUUUGCAUUUACCUCAUUUGAUCUAGAUCUGUAUCAAAUGUUAUCCCCUAUGAUUUUUUAUCACUUCGAUGAUCUUGUCAU
This is a long non-coding RNA of Setaria italica (foxtail millet), 2503 nucleotides long. RefSeq lists it as uncharacterized. Lineage: Eukaryota; Viridiplantae; Streptophyta; Magnoliopsida; Poales; Poaceae. The transcript has 5 exons. The record is from RefSeq and is a predicted model, not a curated record.